Molecule: ribosomal RNA, 253 nt
Filed under: uncultured bacterium
Lineage: Bacteria
Description: partial 16S ribosomal RNA
Rfam family: Bacterial small subunit ribosomal RNA
Source: RNAcentral
UACGGAGGAUCCAAGCGUUAUCCGGAAUCAUUGGGUUUAAAGGGUGCGUAGGUGGGCAGGUAAGUCAGUGGUGAAAUCUCCGGGCUUAACCCGGAAACUGCCAUUGAUACUAUUUGUCUUGAAUACCGUGGAGGUCAGCGGAAUAUGUCAUGUAGCGGUGAAAUGCUUAGAUAUGACAUAGAACACCAAUUGCGAAGGCAGCUGGCUACACGAAUAUUGACACUGAUGCACGAAAGCGUGGGGAUCAAACAGG